AAAGAAUUAGUUAAAUAAUAACAUAAAUAUGUCUAUUUUAAAUUAUUACUAUAAUGUAAUAUUCUUUU
RNAcentral lists this transfer RNA (68 nucleotides) under Gastropacha populifolia. Its description in RNAcentral is "tRNA-Asp". The record is from RNAcentral. Lineage: Eukaryota; Metazoa; Arthropoda; Insecta; Lepidoptera; Lasiocampidae.